UACGUAGGGUGCAAGCGUUGUCCGGAAUUAUUGGGCGUAAAGAGCUCGUAGGCGGUUUGUCGCGUCGAAUGUGAAAACCCGGGGCUCAACCCCGGGCCUGCAUUCGAUACGGGCAGACUAGAGUUCGGUAGGGGGAGUCUGGAAUUCCCGGUGUAGCGGUGAAAUGCGCAGAGUAUCAGGAGGAACACCGGUGGCGAAGGCGGAUCUCUGGGCCAUUACUGACGCUGGAGGAGCGAAAGCGUGGGGAGCGAACAGG
RNAcentral lists this ribosomal RNA (256 nucleotides) under uncultured bacterium. RNAcentral describes it as "partial 16S ribosomal RNA". It matches the Rfam family "Bacterial small subunit ribosomal RNA", at positions 524 to 776 of the family's 1533-position model. The record is from RNAcentral.